AGUGAACGCUGGCGGUAGGCCUAACACAUGCAAGUCGAACGGCAGCACAGUAAGAGCUUGCUCUUACGGGUGGCGAGUGGCGGACGGGUGAGGAAUACAUCGGAAUCUACUUUUUCGUGGGGGAUAACGUAGGGAAACUUACGCUAAUACCGCAUACGACCUACGGGUGAAAGCAGGGGAUCUUCGGACCUUGCGCGAUUGAAUGAGCCGAUGUCGGAUUAGCUAGUUGGCGGGGUAAAGGCCCACCAAGGCGACGAUCCGUAGCUGAUCUGAGAGGAUGAUCAGCCACACUGGAACUAAGACACGGUCCAGACUCCUACGGGAGGCAGCAGUGGGGAAUAUUGGACAAAGGGCGCAAGCCUGAUCCAGCCAUACCGCGUGGGUGAAGAAGGCCUUCGGGUUGUAAAGCCCUUUUGUUGGGAAAGAAAAGCAGCAGGUUAAUACCCCGCUGUUCUGACGGUACCCAAAGAAUAAGCACCGGCUAACUUCGUG
Molecule: ribosomal RNA, 492 nt
Filed under: uncultured bacterium
Lineage: Bacteria
Description: partial 16S ribosomal RNA
Rfam family: Bacterial small subunit ribosomal RNA
Source: RNAcentral